UACGAAGGGGGCUAGCGUUGCUCGGAAUCACUGGGCGUAAAGCGCACGUAGGCGGAUUGCUAAGUCAGGGGUGAAAUCCUGGAGCUCAACUCCAGAACUGCCUCCGAUACUGAGAGUCUCCGAGUCCGGGAGAGGUGAGUGGAACUGCGAGUGUAGAGGUGAAAUUCGUAGAUAUUCGCAAGAACACCAGUGGCGAAGGCGGCUCACUGGCCCGGUACUGACGCUGAGGUGCGAAAGCGUGGGGAGCAAACAGG
This 254-nucleotide ribosomal RNA is filed under the name uncultured bacterium. RNAcentral's name for it is "partial 16S ribosomal RNA". It matches the Rfam family "Bacterial small subunit ribosomal RNA", at positions 524 to 776 of the family's 1533-position model. The record is from RNAcentral.